AACUAACGCUGGCGGCGUGCCUAACACAUGCAAGUCGAACGAGAAAGUUGGCUUCGGCCGAUGAGUAAAGUGGCGCACGGGUGAGUAACGCGUGGAUAAUCUGCCCUUUAGUUUGGAAUAACGUACCGAAAGGUGCGUUAAUACCGGAUAAUACUGAAUGACUACUGUCGUUUAGUCAAAGAAGGCUUCUGUUUACAUGCUUUUGCUGAAGGAUGAGUCCGCGUACCAUUAGCUAGUUGGUAGGGUAAUGGCCUACCAAGGCGACGAUGGUUAGCUGGUCUGAGAGGAUGAUCAGCCACACUGGAACUGAGACACGGUCCAGACUCCUACGGGAGGCAGCAGUGGGGAAUAUUGCACAAUGGGCGAAAGCCUGAUGCAGCAACGCCGCGUGAGCGAGGAAGGCCUUUGGGUCGUAAAGCUCUGUCGAGGAGGAAGAUAAUGACGGUACUCCUCGAGGAAGCCCGGCGUACUAACGUCGCCACGCACGCGCCGGUAGUA
RNAcentral lists this ribosomal RNA (498 nucleotides) under uncultured bacterium. RNAcentral's name for it is "bacterial SSU rRNA". It matches the Rfam family "Bacterial small subunit ribosomal RNA", at positions 29 to 525 of the family's 1533-position model. The record is from RNAcentral.